AUACGUAGGGUGCGAGCGUUGUCCGGAAUGAUUGGGCGUAAAGGGCGCGUAGGCGGCCCGGUAAGUCUGGAGUGAAAGUCCUGUUUUUAAGAUGGGAAUUGCUUUGGAUACUGUCGGGCUUGAGUGCAGGAGAGGUAAGUGGAAUUCCCAGUGUAGCGGUGAAAUGCGUAGAGAUUGGGAGGAACACCAGUGGCGAAGGCGACUUACUGGACUGUAACUGACGCUGAGGCGCGAAAGUGUGGGGAGCAAACAGGAUUAGAUACCCUGGUAGUCCACACUGUAAACGAUGAAUACUAGGUGUGGGGGGACUGACCCCCUCCGUGCCGCAGUUAACACAAUAAGUAUUCCACCUGGGGAGUACGGCCGCAAGGUUGAAACUCAAAUGAAUUGACGGGG
RNAcentral lists this ribosomal RNA (396 nucleotides) under uncultured bacterium. RNAcentral describes it as "partial 16S ribosomal RNA". It matches the Rfam family "Bacterial small subunit ribosomal RNA", at positions 523 to 918 of the family's 1533-position model. The record is from RNAcentral.